CAAAACCAAAGGCGGCACAUUAGAAGGGUAAAUCCCAAGCUUUCAUAGAUCACACGCCCCAAUUGAGGAGAAGACCUACCAGUUUAAUCAGUUUCAGUUGGUCAUGAUGAUAAACAAACUAACUCCCUUAAAGCAAAAAAAAGAGAUUAUAUAUAGUAUGAUCAAUCAGAAUGUUUGAAAAUGCAAAGGCCUAGUAAACCGGGCACGCUCAGAUUGAAAAGUAUCUGCGCCUAGUUGGUUAUUGAAAAUAUGAAUUGGUUUGUUACAAAUUACUAGUAGAUUUGCACGUGCAACGCACGUAUCAUAAUCUAUAAUAGAAAAAUCCAUUUUAAAUCUUAUUUCUCUUUAGUGAGUCAUUGUUAUUGAGCCAUGUGCAUAUGUGUCAUGCCUAACGAUCCGGAUUUCUUAUACCAUCAUUAUUCAAUUCUCAUCUACUAAAAUAACAACUAAUUUUGUUCUAAAUAUGCCCUAUGAAAGUAAAGUCAAAUAAUACGACUUAAUUUUCAAAUAGUUGCUACUUCAUAAGUACUCCAUGAAAUUAUGAUAUGAUGCAAAAUAUAUCUGUUCAAGAGUGUCGAAAUAUCUCCCAUAAGUACUCCAUGAAAUUUAACAUCAAGAGGCCACAAAAUGACCUACAUGAUUUAUCCUCAACAAGAAGUUCAUGACAUAAUGUAAGAUCUUAACAGAGGGAGUAAUAUAAACAGAACAAAACUACUUUACGCAUGACAGUUUGUAGCCGAUUCUUGCACGACAACUGAUCCAAGGGUACUGAUCCAUGCAUCAGACAUAAGAGAGCUGCUAUGCAGACGACUUUCUUGGAUGAUGUUUUGGACGAUGCUACAUAUCCAACCAUAAACUAAAACUGAUGAAGCGCAGGAAAAAAUUGGACACGCCCCUCGCUGCCUCCUCUCAGUUCUCCACACCCACACACUUCACAUACCUUAUCCCAUCCACUGUCUCCCCACCGCUCUCAGGAAAAAAGCCGCCGCCACCGUCCUCGGUGCUCCCGGCGGUUACGGCGAAGGAGUCCCUGGGCAUGCUGCUGCUGCGCCAACGCCUCCGGCAUCCCACCGUCGUGGGCAACGCCAAAUACAACGCCGGUGCCGCAUAUACACACGCGCGCCGGUCACCGCCUCGGCCUCGGUGUGCCCGGCCGCGGAGGAGGCGCAGGAGCCGGCAGCGUAGACGGAGGGAGAGGAGUAGCGCGAGGGGUGCGGACGGAGGGGUCGCCGGGGACGUUUGGCGCGCCACCACGCGACGGUCCCGGGCCGCCGCGGGGAGGCAGAGAGGCAACACGGGAGGGUCUGCAAAUCAUGACACAAUUCAGCAGUUGAGCAACAAUCGAGUGAUUGGGUUAUGAUCAUUACCUGUUGGGAGUGGUAGGGGCCAUACGAAGUCCUUCAACCCUGUGAAUGUCAAGAGUGUUAUCAUAUAACUAUCUUUGAAUGAAUAGUAUUACGUUACCGGAAUACAGACAUAGUAGAGUUUUAUGUUCAACUCCCACUAACUGUUUACCUUCAGAGCUUUCUUGUGGUGCCUCUGCUUACCCAAAUGAAUUCAAUUUGCAUUAAUAUACUUAGUAUAAUGCUUUCACAUUUGGCGAUCUGCGUGCUGCCGUUGCCUUACACAUUUGAUCGCCAAUUCUCUAAGCAUCUCAAUUUGACAUAUCACCAUAAAAAAUUCAGGCACCUAGCUUGUUCGCGCACAAGUGAGGUUGCUUUAUCCAAACUCUAGUUAGGUUGCUGGUUAUCAAACUCUAGUUAUUUUGCUUUAUCCAAACUCUACUUAGGUUGCUGGUUAUCAAACUCUAGUUAUUUUGCUUUAUCCAAACUCUAUCUUAGGUUGCUUUAUCCAAACUUAAUAUAAUAAAAUACAGGGAACUUACUUGGACUGUGCGGAGUCUGAUGUUUCAACACAUCGCUAACCUGAUGCACAAUAAGAAAAACUCUAGUUAUCUUGCACGCGCAAUGCCCGUCUAGGUCUGUUAUCCAAAUGAAUUCAAUUUGCAUUAAUUUACUUUCAUAAUGCUACAGAAUAUAAUAGUUUGUAAUACUAUUCAUCUAGGUCUGCUACCCAAAUGAAUUCAAUUUGCAUUAAUAUACUUGGCAUAAUGUAACAGGAUGUAGUAGUUUGUAAUACUAUUCAUCUAGGUCUCUUUCAGAGUGUGGGUGAACCAUAUGCAGCUUGGUUGAACAAUGCAUGCGGAACGGACGUGUGGUUUCCUUUUGCGAUUGUUUUUUGGGCGCUAAUAAGCGCCGGUGCGCCGGCCCAAACUUUCGGCCGGUCCACUGCUAACCGCCCGAUCUACAUAACAUGAACAGU
This is an RNA transcript of Triticum dicoccoides, 2322 nucleotides long. RefSeq lists it as uncharacterized. The record is from RefSeq and is a predicted model, not a curated record. Lineage: Eukaryota; Viridiplantae; Streptophyta; Magnoliopsida; Poales; Poaceae. The transcript has 2 exons.